UAUACCGUGAAACUGCGAAUGGCUCAUUAAAUCAGUUAUCGUUUAUUUGAUAGUACCUUACUACUUGGAUAACCGUGGUAAUUCUAGAGCUAAUACAUGCUGAAAACCCCAACUUCGGGAGGGGUGUAUUUAUUAGAUAAAAAACCAACGCCCUUCGGGGCUUCUUGGUGAUUCAUGAUAACUUUACGGAUCGCAUGGCCUUGCGCCGGCGACGGUUCAUUCAAAUUUCUGCCCUAUCAACUUUCGAUGGUAAGGUAUUGGCUUACCAUGGUUUCAACGGGUAACGGGGAAUUAGGGUUCGAUUCCGGAGAGGGAGCCUGAGAAACGGCUACCACAUCCAAGGAAGGCAGCAGGCGCGCAAAUUACCCAAUCCCGACACGGGGAGGUAGUGACAAUAAAUACUGAUACAGGGCUCUUUUGGGUCUUGUAAUUGGAAUGAGUACAAUUUAAACCUCUUAACGAGGAACAAUUGGAGGGCAAGUCUGGUGCCAGCAGCCGCGGUAAUUCCAGCUCCAAUAGCGUAUAUUAAAGUUGUUGCAGUUAAAAAGCUCGUAGUUGAAACUUGGGUCUGGCUGGCAGGUCCGCCUCACCGCGUGUACUUGUCCGGCCGGGCCUUCCUUCUGGAGAACCUCAUGCCCUUUACUGGGCGUGUUGGGGACCAGGACUUUUACUUUGAAAAAAUUAGAGUGUUCAAAGCAGGCCUUUGCUCGAAUACGUUAGCAUGGAAUAAUAGAAUAGGACGUGCGGUUCUAUUUUGUUGGUUUCUAGGACCGCCGUAAUGAUUAAUAGGGACAGUCGGGGGCAUCAGUAUUCAAUUGUCAGAGGUGAAAUUCUUGGAUUUAUUGAAGACUAACUACUGCGAAAGCAUUUGCCAAGGAUGUUUUCAUUAAUCAGUGAACGAAAGUUAGGGGAUCGAAGACGAUCAGAUACCGUCGUAGUCUUAACCGUAAACUAUGCCGACUAGGGAUCGGGCGAUGUUCUUUUUUUUGACUCGCUCGGCACCUUACGAGAAAUCAAAGUU
RNAcentral lists this ribosomal RNA (1021 nucleotides) under Cucurbitaria berberidis. RNAcentral describes it as "SSU rRNA". It matches the Rfam family "Eukaryotic small subunit ribosomal RNA", at positions 75 to 1105 of the family's 1831-position model. Lineage: Eukaryota; Fungi; Ascomycota; Dothideomycetes; Pleosporales; Cucurbitariaceae. The record is from RNAcentral. RNAcentral also lists the same sequence under 1 other name.